CGCGCCCGGCCGCUGCCGCCGGACGCUUGAAAAGGAACAAGAGGAUUUAUCUGACUCAACUGGAGAUGGCUCCCUUCCCUAAUUUAUUGUUGCAUCCUGAAGCUUCCCCCAUGCUGGGCUCAGUGUGAACAAACAGCGCGGGAGAAUGCAACCACUGCAGAGGUACAAGUUCACAGAGGCAGAGCCGCCCCUCGACUGGGCCAGAGGCAAAGACAAACCCCAACCUCUUUCUUGUCAUUCAUUGAAUUUUGCUGAACCUGGAAAGGAAAUAAAUUCCAAAGGCAGGAAGUGACCCAGAGACCAUAACAAUAUGUGAAAAGCUUAGCCGGUGUUUCCGCCCCUUUGUUUCAAACUAUUCUAAUCUGUGUCCCAGGAAGCCUAGCCCAUGGCCAGAUGGAGAUCUGUUUUCAGAUGCCUCCUGGCAUCUGCCACUCCCGGCUGGUGACAUUUGCACAUUUCAGAAGGCAAACCUGUCCCAACAUCUUCAAACUUCCAGAGAGGUGUAGCACCAGGAAAGUCCUUGGGUCUCCGGCUGACAGCACCAACCAGCUGAUUUGCUUCAUCUGCAGCUGAACUGCUGCUGGACUCCAGCCUAGAACACUAGUGCACACCGGGUUUGUUCUUGAAGAUUUGCAGAUUCUGAAAUCAAAAUGCCCUGUGUUGCCAGAAAAGGCUGGCUCCCUUGCCUGCUUCAUAAUCCCUUCUCACCAGGCUUUCCUAAAGAAACUCAAUGAGUCAGGAAGGAAGAAAACAUGUCUGAGGGAGAUCUGGAGGCAUAUGUUUGAGAUGCCUGGCCACUGGAGGUCAUCUCGUCUACUAUGUUCACCACAGAUAAAGAAUGAAAAGAGAAUAUACAACCUUGUGAUUGCUAGCAGUGAAAGCUCAGAGUUAUGACAUAACAAAGAGGGGCUUGAGCAGAGAGAAUGCUUAGAGGCUAAGCGAUGGGCAAGUGAGAGGGAAAGAGCCGCGACAGACAGAGCUGGCUGCCUAGGGGUCUCAGAGGCUUCAUCCUGCAGGCGGCAGGCGGCAGGACAAAGGGACCUUCGCACUCGAGAUCAAGAUUCCAAGGAGUUAAACGCUACCACGCAGCCCGACCUGGAUGGGAUUUGCUCCUGGGUACAAAACGGGACACUGAUCAAAAUCAACUUGGACAAGUGACAAGAGUGAGUCUUAUGUCGGUGGAUGUCUUUUAAGGUCGUUGGAGGGAAGAGGACGGGAGGGGUGUGCCGAGGGGUAGGUGGAGAGAGGCACCGAGUCCAGAGCCGGGAUAUAAAUGCACCAGGAGCCGGGGAGCAGAGGAGCAAAUGAGUGGGGGAAAGAGUGAGAGGAAGAGUUGGAGAAAAGUCGGGGGAAAGUAGGGACAGGGUUAAGGGGAGAGAGGAGGAUGAGGGCGGCGAGGAGAGAUUAAAAGGGGAAGGGGGGUCGCUGGAGAGGAGGGCGGACUGUGGAUCGGAGGUAGGGAGAGGGGCGAGGGGAGUGCGCG
RNAcentral lists this long non-coding RNA (1483 nucleotides) under Pan troglodytes (chimpanzee). RNAcentral describes it as "long non-coding RNA NONPTRT010056". The record is from RNAcentral. Lineage: Eukaryota; Metazoa; Chordata; Mammalia; Primates; Hominidae.